UACGUAGGGUGCAAGCGUUGUCCGGAAUUACUGGGCGUAAAGCGCACGUAGGCGGCUUUGUAAGUUAGAGGUGAAAGCCCGGAGCUCAACUCCGGAAUUGCCUUUAAGACUGCAUCGCUCGAAUCAUGGAGAGGUGAGUGGAAUUCCGAGUGUAGAGGUGAAAUUCGUAGAUAUUCGGAAGAACACCAGUGGCGAAGGCGACUCACUGGACAUGUAUUGACGCUGAGGUGCGAAAGCGUGGGGAGCAAACAGGG
RNAcentral lists this ribosomal RNA (254 nucleotides) under uncultured bacterium. RNAcentral's name for it is "partial 16S ribosomal RNA". It matches the Rfam family "Bacterial small subunit ribosomal RNA", at positions 524 to 777 of the family's 1533-position model. The record is from RNAcentral.